Glycine soja is the source of this 2745-nucleotide long non-coding RNA. RefSeq lists it as uncharacterized. The record is from RefSeq and is a predicted model, not a curated record. The transcript is spliced from 6 exons. Lineage: Eukaryota; Viridiplantae; Streptophyta; Magnoliopsida; Fabales; Fabaceae.
ACGAGCUUGUGGUUUGUGACUCUGUUUCUUUCUCUGUUUUUUGGGUAGGUCUUAAUUUGGAUAUAUAUCGUGAAAGGGUGAAUAAUUAAUCAAGGGAGCAAUAUAUAACGGUGCACUUUCCGAUGGAAGAGCCUGGGGAAUUUUCUUCUCGUUUUUUUUUUUUGACAAGGAUUGCAAGCAGCAUAGUUCAAUAUUCUUAUUUUCCAUGGUUAGGCAAAAGAACUUCGGGGAUGUGGAUUCAUGUAUAUCUGGCUCCAGCAGCAUGAGAAAUUUAAGGACUGAGGGACAGAAGAAUUUCCUCACGGCUGAAUGGUGUGAAAAGAAAAGUUCAUAAUCGAUUCAUGGUCCUUGGGUGCAAAUCGCAACACGGUUACAAGGCUUGCUUGAAAAAAAUUCCAGCUGAUAAUGUGUUCUCCAUCUUGGUUUCAAUGAACAAGAGGUGGCCCUGAGGCCACAACAUUCGGGAGUUCUGUCACUCUUCUUUUGGUGGCCAAGAAGCACAAUUGCUCCCUCAAUAAACCCUCACAUGAUAUCCAUAUCGCGACCCAGAAACUGAUGAUAACUAGAGCGACAGAUCGAGAGAAAGAGGACACAUACAUCAUCAAGAAACAACAUUGAAAAGCCUACAUGGACACCAUGAAGCUCGUUUGGUCUCCAGAAUCAGCCUUGAAAUCCUACAUCGACACUCUUAAAUCAGCGUUCUGUCACUCUUCUUUUGGUGGCCAAGAAACACAAUUGCUCCCUCAAUAACCCUCACAUGAUAUUCAUAUCGCCACCCAGAAACUGAUGAUAACUAGACCCACAGAUCGAGAGAAAGAGGACACAUACACCAUCAAGAAACAACUUUGAAAAGCCUACAUGGACACCGUGAAAAGUCAAAUCAAUGAUAGAUGGAGGUGUUGACGCCAAAAGGGUGGUGGCAGCAGAGGAGGUGGAGACGGCGGUGCCGCGGCUUCAUUACUAAUCAAUGUUCUUGUUUCUUGUAGGAAGGGUUUGAACUUUGGAUAUUGCUUACACAGAGAAAAGGAGUGGUGCAGCAGAUCAAGAAUCAGGUAAAUGACUUGAAUCUAACUUUUAUUAUUAAUGAUCAUGAGUUAAAGAUUAUGAAUUUCUUAACCAAGUCUAGGACUAUCUUAGCUUUUUAUACGGUAUUCUCAAGCUAUAUUUGUUUAUUUUUAUAUAUGACCAUGGGGAGACUUAGAAGUGUCAAAUGCUUACGAAGGAAGAAGAGCCUAUUGAAUUGAGGAGACCACGGUAACUUUUCUCAGGUAUACACUACACACAUUAUAAUUUUUUAACUUCCCAAGGACAUUUAGUAAGGGUGGAAAAAUUUAAGUGUGUAUAAUCCCAGGUGAGAAAAAAUUUACAUUGUUCGUGUUACAUACUCUAACUAUGUGUAUUUGUGUUCUACAAUCAAGAUAUAAUCUUUCUAUCAAGGAUAAUCACCAAUCUAUGUAAUUUAAAUGCGUUUUCCGGGAAUAUGCAUCCUUCUUCCAAAAACUGAAAGUGAAGACAAGUAAAUGCAGAGAGAAAGAACCUUUAACACCAUGAAGCUCCUUUGGUCUCCAAAAUCAUCCUUGAAAUCCUACAUCGACACUGUUAAAUCAGUAAGAACCUUUAACAUCAUGAAUCACAUAAUUAAUAAUUUUCUUUCUUUAGCUUCUUCAUUUUGUUUUAUUCUUUCUUUAUCACUUUCUUUUCCUCUUGAUAUGCACAAAUGAUAUAUACGUAAUUUGUUUUCCAUUGUUAUAACUUUUGCCUUUUAGAUCUAUUUUCUUGUCCUUGCAUGUGUAUAUAUGGUUAUGCAACAAAGUAAUUCAUAUACUUUAUUAAAUAUGUUAGUUUUCACUUAAAAGAUUCGUACCAAAUAUCCAAUGGAUAAGAAGGAUAUGGAUGUCUCCAUUGAAUAUGUAUAUGAAUUAUUCACUAGGGUUUUGAGGGAGCAUGAUGCUACCAUCUAAGAAGCUAUUUGGAUAAUUUUGAAGAGAAAGUUAGUUAUGAUGAGAUGUCCAUUUGUUGUUGCACUCAUUUAUUGUUUUACAUUGCUUAGAGAAUAUAUAAGGCACUUGUUGUAUGAAAAGAUUAUUGUUCUAGGUUUAGGUUUCACCAGUUUUUUAUACCUAAAUAAAAUUGUGAAGAGUUCAAUCCUAUUUAUAAAUCAACAAUAAUUCAAUUUUGUGCUUCCAUUAAUGAAAACAAAUUCAGUAUUUCAAAUAUCAAGUUGUUUACGGUUAUUCAAUUGAGAUUCAAGCACUUUUCUAUGUGGUUUUAAGGUGUGUUUUAUUGCAUGAGCAAGAUGUUGAAUGCAGGGGGUUCAUAAAACAAAUUGUCAAACUUUUGCAUGCCUUAAGCUCUCAUCUGAGAAGUUAUUUUUUGACGGAUUUGAAGUAACUUAACUACAUAUAUCACCUUAAAACAGAGCAGUACUCAUCUAUUGUUUUACUAUUGAAGUACAACAAAUUUAAUGUUAGAAGAAUGACAUUAAACUUGUUGUGUAUAGUAUUUGAGUACUCUUCUAUUUUGAAGCAAUAUACGUGGUUAAGUUGUUUCAAAUCCAACCUAAAAUAAUUUAGCUUAAGACAUGCAAUUGUUUGACAAUUUGUUCUAUUAAUUCAUUGCAUUCAACAUUUUGCUUAAGCAAUUGCAUGGAACACCUUAAAUCCAUGAAGAAAAGUGUUUGAAUCUCAAUUAGAUAACCAUAGACAACUUGAUGACAUAAAAAAUAUGAAAAUAAGAAGUAUUGAA